This 498-nucleotide ribosomal RNA is filed under the name uncultured bacterium. RNAcentral describes it as "partial 16S ribosomal RNA". It matches the Rfam family "Bacterial small subunit ribosomal RNA", at positions 28 to 507 of the family's 1533-position model. The record is from RNAcentral.
GACGAACGCUGGCGGCGUGCCUAAUACAUGCAAGUCGAACGAGAGCGCCCGGUGCUUGCACUGGUCAAUCUAGUGGCGAACGGUUGAGUAACACGUGGGUAACCUGCCCAUCAGAGGGGGAUAACAUCCGGAAACGGAUGCUAAAACCGCAUAGGUCUUCGAGCCGCAUGGCUUGAAGAGGAAAAGAGGCGCAAGCUUCUGCUGAUGGAUGGACCCGCGGUGCAUUAGCUAGUUGGUGAGGUAACGGCUCACCAAGGCCGUGAUGCAUAGCCGACCUGAGAGGGUGAUCGGCCACAUUGGGACUGAGACACGGCCCAAACUCCUACGGGAGGCGGCAGUAGGGAAUCUUCCGCAAUGGACGCAAGUCUGACGGAGCAACGCCGCGUGAGUGAAGAAGGUUUUCGGAUCGUAAAACUCUGUUGUUAGAGAAGAACAAGUGCUAGAGUAACUGUUAGCGCCUUGACGGUAUCUAACCAGAAAGCCACGGCUAACUACGUG